This 403-nucleotide ribosomal RNA is filed under the name uncultured bacterium. Its description in RNAcentral is "partial 16S ribosomal RNA". It matches the Rfam family "Bacterial small subunit ribosomal RNA", at positions 28 to 526 of the family's 1533-position model. The record is from RNAcentral.
GACGAACGCUGGCGGCGUGCCUAAUACAUGCAAGUCGAACGCAGUGGGGACGGGUGAGUAACACGUUGGUAACCUCCCAUCAGAGGGGAUAACCCUUGGAAACAGGUGCUAAACCGAUACUGAUGGAUGGACCCGCGGUGCAUUAGCUAGUUGGUGAGUUAACGGCUCACCAAGGCCACGAUGCAUAGCUGACCUGAUAGUGUGAUUGGCCAAACGGGGACUGAGACACGGCCCAGACUCCUACGAGAGGCCGCAGUAGGGAAUCUGCGGCAAUGGACGAAAGUCUUACCGAGCAACGCCGCGUGAGUGAAGAAGGUUUUCGGAGCGUAAAGCUCUGUUGUUAGAGAAGCGGUAUCUAACCAGAAAGCCACGGCUAACUACGUGCCAGCAGCCGCGGUAAUAC